UACGAGGGGGGCGAGCGUUGUUCGGAGUUAUUGGGCGUAAAGGGUGCGUAGGCGGUUUGGUAAGUCUUAUGUGAAAUCUACAGGCUCAACUUGUAGUCUGCAUGAGAAACUGCCGGGCUUGAGUAUGGGAGAGGUGAGUGGAAUUUCCGGUGUAGCGGUGAAAUGCGUAGAUAUCGGAAGGAACACCUGUGGCGAAAGCGGCUCACUGGACCAUAACUGACGCUGAUGCACGAAAGCUAGGGGAGCAAACAGGAUUAGAUACCCUGGUAGUCCUAGCCCUAAACGAUGACUGCUUGGUGUGACGGGUACCCAAUCCCGCCGUGCCGUAGCUAACGCGUUAAGCAGUCCGCCUGGGGAGUACGGUCGCAAGGCUGAAACUCA
Molecule: ribosomal RNA, 381 nt
Filed under: uncultured bacterium
Lineage: Bacteria
Description: bacterial SSU rRNA
Rfam family: Bacterial small subunit ribosomal RNA
Source: RNAcentral